This 483-nucleotide ribosomal RNA is filed under the name uncultured bacterium. RNAcentral's name for it is "bacterial SSU rRNA". It matches the Rfam family "Bacterial small subunit ribosomal RNA", at positions 501 to 985 of the family's 1533-position model. The record is from RNAcentral.
CUACGUGCCAGCAGCCGCGGUAAUACGGAGGGUGCGAGCGUUAAUCGGAAUAACUGGGCGUAAAGGGCACGCAGGCGGUGACUUAAGUGAGGUGUGAAAGCCCCGGGCUUAACCUGGGAAUUGCAUUUCAUACUGGGUCGCUAGAGUACUUUAGGGAGGGGUAGAAUUCCACGUGUAGCGGUGAAAUGCGUAGAGAUGUGGAGGAAUACCGAAGGCGAAGGCAGCCCCUUGGGAAUGUACUGACGCUCAUGUGCGAAAGCGUGGGGAGCAAACAGGAUUAGAUACCCUGGUAGUCCACGCUGUAAACGAUGUCGAUUUGGGGGUUGAACUUUAGGUUUGGCGCCCGUAGCUAACGUGAUAAAUCGACCGCCUGGGGAGUACGGCCGCAAGGUUAAAACUCAAAUGAAUUGACGGGGGCCCGCACAAGCGGAGGAACAUGUGGUUUAAUUCGAUGAUACGCGAGGAACCUUACCCGGGAUUGAA